RNAcentral lists this ribosomal RNA (289 nucleotides) under uncultured bacterium. Its description in RNAcentral is "partial 16S ribosomal RNA". It matches the Rfam family "Bacterial small subunit ribosomal RNA", at positions 773 to 1060 of the family's 1533-position model. The record is from RNAcentral.
GUGGAUUAGAUACCCUAGUAGUCCACGCCCUAAACGAUGCGAACUGGAUGUUGGGUGCACUUAGGCACGCAGUAUCGAAGCUAACGCGUUAAGUUCGCCGCCUGGGGAGUACGGUCGCAAGACUGAAACUCAAAGGAAUUGACGGGGGCCCGCACAAGCGGUGGAGUAUGUGGUUUAAUUCGAUGCAACGCGAAGAACCUUACCUGGCCUUGACAUGCACGGAACUUUCCAGAGAUGGAUUGGUGCCUUCGGGAACCGUGACACAGGUGCUGCACGGUUGUCGACAACU